This 474-nucleotide ribosomal RNA is filed under the name uncultured bacterium. RNAcentral describes it as "bacterial SSU rRNA". It matches the Rfam family "Bacterial small subunit ribosomal RNA", at positions 335 to 801 of the family's 1533-position model. The record is from RNAcentral.
ACUCCUACGGGAGGCAGCAGUAGGGAAUCUUCCACAAUGGGCGCAAGCCUGAUGGAGCAACACCGCGUGAGUGAAGAAGGGUUUCGGCUCGUAAAGCUCUGUUGUUAAAGAAGAACACGUAUGAGAGUAACUGUUCAUACGUUGACGGUAUUUAACCAGAAAGUCAUGGCUAACUACGUGCCAGCAGCCGCGGUAAUACGUAGGUGGCAAGCGUUAUCCGGAUUUAUUGGGCGUAAAGAGAGUGCAGGCGGUUUUCAAGUUCUGAUGUGAAAGCCUUCGGCUUAACCGGAGAAGUGCAUCGGAAACUGGAUAACUUGAGUGCAGAAGAGGGUAGUGGAACUCCAUGUGUAGCGGUGGAAUGCGUAGAUAUAUGGAAGAACACCAGUGGCGAAGGCGGCUACCUGGUCUGCAACUGACGCUGAGACUCGAAAGCAUGGGUAGCGAACAGGAUUAGAUACCCCUGGUAGGAUAGCG